AGAUUGAACGCUGGCGGCAGGCCUAACACAUGCAAGUCGAGCGGUAACGCGGGGCAACCUGGCGACGAGCGGCGGACGGGUGAGUAACGCGUAGGAAUCUACCUGGUAGUGGGGGAUAGCCCGGGGAAACUCGGAUUAAUACCGCAUACGCCUUAAGGGGGGAAAGCAGGGGAACUUCGGUCCUUGUGCUAUCAGAAGAGCCUGCGUUGGAUUAGCUAGUUGGUAGGGUAAAGGCCUACCAAGGCGACGAUCCAUAGCUGGUCUGAGAGGAUGAUCAGCCACACUGGGACUGAGACACGGCCCAGACUCCUACGGGAGCAGCAGUGGGAAUAUUGGACAAUGGGGGCAACCUGAUCCAGCCAUGCCGCGUGUGUGAAGAAGGCCUUCGGGUUGUAAAGCACUUUAAGUGGGAGGAAGGGUAGGAAAGUCGUAAAUACCUUUACGAUCGUAUUGACGCUACCCACAAGAAUAAGCACCGGCUAACUCUGU
This 489-nucleotide ribosomal RNA is filed under the name uncultured soil bacterium. Its description in RNAcentral is "bacterial SSU rRNA". It matches the Rfam family "Bacterial small subunit ribosomal RNA", at positions 26 to 506 of the family's 1533-position model. The record is from RNAcentral.